GGCGGCGUGCUAUACAUGCAAGUCGAGCGGACAGAAGGGAGCUUGCUCCCGGAUGUUAGCGGCGGACGGGUGAGUAACACGUGGGUAACCUGCCUGUAAGACUGGGAUAACUCCGGGAAACCGGAGCUAAUACCGGAUAGUUCCUUGAACCGCAUGGUUCAAGGAUGAAAGACGGUUUCGGCUGUCACUUACAGAUGGACCCGCGGCGCAUUAGCUAGUUGGUGGGGUAAUGGCUCACCAAGGCGACGAUGCGUAGCCGACCUGAGAGGGUGAUCGGCCACACUGGGACUGAGACACGGCCCAGACUCCUACGGGAGGCAGCAGUAGGGAAUCUUCCGCAAUGGACGAAAGUCUGACGGAGCAACGCCGCGUGAGUGAUGAAGGUUUUCGGAUCGUAAAGCUCUGUUGUUAGGGAAGAACAAGUGCGAGAGUAACUGCUCGCACCUUGACGGUACCUAACCAGAAAGCCACGGCUAACUACGUGCCAGCAGCCGCGGUAAUACGUAGGUGGCAAGCGUUGUCCGGAAUAAUGGGGCGUAAACGGCCCGCGUCAGGCGGUUCUCUUAAGUCUGAUGUGAAAGCCCCCGGCUCAACCGGGGAGGGGCAUUGGAAACCUGGGGAAACUUGAGUGCAGAAGAGGAGAGUGGAAUUCCACGUGUAGCGGUGAAAUGCGUAGAGAUGUGGAGGAACACCAGUGGCGAAGGCGACUCUCUGGUCUGUAACUGACGCUGAGGAGCGAAAGCGUGGGGAGCGAACAGGAUUAGAUACCCUGGUAGUCCACGCCGUAAACGAUGAGUGCUAACUGUUAGGGGGUUUCCGCCCCUUAGUGCUGCAGCUAACGCAUUAAGCACUCCGCCUGGGGAGUACGGUCGCAAGACUGAAACUCAAAGGAAUUGACGGGGGCCCGCACAAGCGGUGGAGCAUGUGGUUUAAUUCGAAGCAACGCGAAGAACCUUACCAGGUCUUGACAUCCUCUGACAACCCUAGAGAUAGGGCUUUCCCCUCGGGAACAGAGUGACAGGUGGAGCACGGUUGUCGUCAGCUCGUGUCGUGAGAUGCUGGGUUAAGUACCGCAACGAGCGCAACCCUUGAUCUUAGUUGCCAGCAUUCAGUUGGGCACUCUAAGGUGACUGCCGGUGACAAACCGGAGGAAGGUGGGGAUGACGUCAAAUCAUCAUGCCCCUUAUGACCUGGGCUACACACGUGCUACAAUGGACAGAACAAAGGGCUGCAAGACCGCAAGGUUUAGCCAAUCCCAUAAAUCUGUUCUCAGUUCGGAUCGCAGUCUGCAACUCGACUGCGUGAAGCUGGAAUCGCUAGUAAUCGCGGAUCAGCAUGCCGCGGUGAAUACGUUCCCGGGCCUUGUACACACCGCCCGUCACACCACGAGAGUUUGCAACACCCGAAGUCGGUGAGGUAACCUUUAUGGAGCCAGCCGCCGAAGGUGGGGCAGAUGAUUGGGGGAAGUCGUAACAAG
RNAcentral lists this ribosomal RNA (1477 nucleotides) under Bacillus pumilus. Its description in RNAcentral is "16S ribosomal RNA". It matches the Rfam family "Bacterial small subunit ribosomal RNA". Lineage: Bacteria; Bacillati; Bacillota; Bacilli; Caryophanales; Bacillaceae. The record is from RNAcentral.